AGCGAACGCUGGCGGCAGGCCUAACACAUGCAAGUCGAACGAACCUUUCGGGGUUAGUGGCGGACGGGUGAGUAACACGUGGGAACGUGCCUUUAGGUUCGGAAUAACUCAGGGAAACUUGUGCUAAUACCGAAUGUGCCCUUCGGGGGAAAGAUUAAUCGCCUUUAGAGCGGCCCGCGUCUGAUUAGCUAGUUGGUUGAGGUAAUGGCUCACCAAGGCGACGAUCAGUAGCUGGUCUGAGAGGAUGAUCAGCCACAUUGGGACUGAGACACGGCCCAAACUCCUACGGGAGGCAGCAGAGGGGAAUCUUGCGCGAUGAGGGAAAGCCUGACGCAGCCAUGCCGCGUGAAUGAUGAAGGUCUUAGGAUUGUAAAAUUCUUUCACCGGGGACGAUAAUGACGGUACCCGGAGAAGAAGCCCCGGCUAACUUCGUG
This 434-nucleotide ribosomal RNA is filed under the name uncultured bacterium. RNAcentral's name for it is "partial 16S ribosomal RNA". It matches the Rfam family "Bacterial small subunit ribosomal RNA", at positions 29 to 507 of the family's 1533-position model. The record is from RNAcentral.